This 253-nucleotide ribosomal RNA is filed under the name uncultured bacterium. Its description in RNAcentral is "partial 16S ribosomal RNA". It matches the Rfam family "Bacterial small subunit ribosomal RNA", at positions 524 to 776 of the family's 1533-position model. The record is from RNAcentral.
UACGAAGGGGGCGAGCGUUGUUCGGAUUUACUGGGCGUAAAGGGCGCGCAGGCGGCUCAUUUUGUCAGGCGUGAAAGCCCCGGGCUUAACCUGGGAGGUGCGUUUGAUACGGAUGGGCUAGAGUUCGGGAGAGGAGAGUGGAAUUCCCAGUGUAGAGGUGAAAUUCGUAGAUAUUGGGAAGAACACCGGUGGCGAAGGCGGCUCUCUGGACCGAGACUGACGCUGAGGCGCGAAAGCGUGGGGAGCGAACAGG